Molecule: ribosomal RNA, 253 nt
Filed under: uncultured bacterium
Lineage: Bacteria
Description: partial 16S ribosomal RNA
Rfam family: Bacterial small subunit ribosomal RNA
Source: RNAcentral
UACGGGGGGGGCAAGCGUUGUUCGGAAUUACUGGGCGUAAAGGGCUCGUAGGUGGCCAACUAAGUCAGACGUGAAAUCCCUCGGCUUAACCGGGGAACUGCGUCUGAUACUGGAUGGCUUGAAUUCGGGAGAGGGAUGCGGAAUUCCAGGUGUAGCGGUGAAAUGCGUAGAUAUCUGGAGGAACACCGGUGGCGAAGGCGGCAUCCUGGACCGACACUGACACUGAGGAGCGAAAGCCAGGGGAGCAAACGGG